Molecule: ribosomal RNA, 468 nt
Filed under: uncultured bacterium
Lineage: Bacteria
Description: partial 16S ribosomal RNA
Rfam family: Bacterial small subunit ribosomal RNA
Source: RNAcentral
GACGAACGCUGGCGGCGUGCUUAACACAUGCAAGUCGAACGGAAAGGCCCUGCUUUUGUGGGGUGCUCGAGUGGCGAACGGGUGAGUAACACGUGUGUAACCUGCCCUUGACUUUGGGAUAACUUCAGGAAACUGGGGCUAAUACCGGAUAGGAGCUCCUGCUGCAUGGUGGGGGUUGGAAAGUUUCGGCGGUUGGGGAUGGACUCGCGGCUUAUCAGCUUGUUGGUGGGGUAGUGGCUUACCAAGGCUUUGACGGGUAGCCGGCCUGAGAGGGUGACCGGCCACAUUGGGACUGAGCUACGGCCCAGACUCCUACGGGAGGCAGCAGUGGGGAAUAUUGCACAAUGGGCGGAAGCCUGAUGCAGCAACGCCGCGUGCGGGAUGACGGCCUUCGGGUUGUAAACCGCUUUCGCCUGUGACGAAGCGUGAGUGACGGUAAUGGGUAAAGAAGCACCGGCUAACUACGUG